Molecule: ribosomal RNA, 377 nt
Filed under: uncultured bacterium
Lineage: Bacteria
Description: bacterial SSU rRNA
Rfam family: Bacterial small subunit ribosomal RNA
Source: RNAcentral
UAAUACGAGGGGGGCAAGCGUUGUCCGGAAUCAUUGGGCGUAAAGGGUUCGUAGGCGGACUGAUAAGUUGGAAUUGAAAGACCACGGCUUAACCGAGGGAACGGUUUCAAUACUGUCAGUCUUGAGUGAGGUAGAGGUAAGCGGAAUUCCUGGUGUAGCGGUGAAAUGCGUAGAUAUCAGGAGGAACAUCAAAGGCGAAGGCAGCUUACUGGGCCUAUACUGACGCUGAGGAACGAAAGCGUGGGGAGCAAACAGGAUUAGAGACCCUGGUAGUCCACGCCGUAAACGAUGAGUACUUGGUGAUGGGGGAUUCGACCCUUUCAUUGCCGGAGCUAACGCAUUAAGUACUCCGCCUGGGGACUACGACCGCAAGGUUG